RNAcentral lists this ribosomal RNA (450 nucleotides) under uncultured bacterium. RNAcentral describes it as "partial 16S ribosomal RNA". It matches the Rfam family "Bacterial small subunit ribosomal RNA", at positions 354 to 796 of the family's 1533-position model. The record is from RNAcentral.
GUGGGGAAUUUUGGACAAUGGGCGCAAGCCUGAUCCAGCAAUGCCGCGUGCAGGAAGAAGGCCUUCGGGUUGUAAACUGCUUUUGUACGGAACGAAACGGUCCUGGCUAAUAUCCGGGGCUAAUGACGGUACCGUAAGAAUAAGCACCGGCUAACUACGUGCCAGCAGCCGCGGUAAUACGUAGGGUGCGAGCGUUAAUCGGAAUUACUGGGCGUAAAGCGUGCGCAGGCGGUGCUGUAAGACAGGCGUGAAAUCCACGGGCUCAACCUGGGAAUUGCGCUUGUGACUGCAGUGCUGGAGUGCGGCAGAGGGGGAUGGAAUUCCGCGUGUAGCAGUGAAAUGCGUAGAUAUGCGGAGGAACACCGAUGGCGAAGGCAAUCCCCUGGGCCUGCACUGACGCUCAUGCACGAAAGCGUGGGGAGCAAACAGGAUUAGAAACCCGAGUAGUCC